AGAAGAGUUUGAUCCUGGCUCAGGAUGAACGCUAGCGAUAGGCUUAACACAUGCAAGUCGAGGGGCAGCAUAAUUAUAGUAAUAUAAUGGUGGCGACCGGCGCACGGGUGAGUAACACGUAUGCAACCUACCCAUAACAGGAGGAUAGCUCGUCGAAAGGCGGAUUAAUACUCCAUAAUACAGGGAACCCGCAUGGGUAUAUUUGUUAAAGAGCGCGAGCUUGGUUAUGGAUGGGCAUGCGUUCCAUUAGUUAGUUGGUGAUGGUAACGGCACACCAAGACAACGAUGGAUAGGGGUACUGAGAGGUUUAUCCCCCACACUGGGACUGAGACACGGCCCAGACUCCUACGGGAGGCAGCAGUGAGGAAUAUUGGUCAAUGGUCGGAAGACUGAACCAGCCAAAUCGCGUGAAGGAAGACGGUAUUAUGUAUUGUAAACUUCUUUUAUAAGGGAAUAAAGUGCCUCAUGUAUGGGGUUUUGUAAGUACCUUAGGAAUAAGCAUCGGCUAACUCCGUGCCAGCAGCCGCGGUAAUACGGAGGAUGCGAGCGUUAUCCGGAUUUAUUGGGUUUAAAGGGUGCGUAGGCUGGCUAAUAAGUCAGCGGUGAAAACUUGUCGCUUAACGAUAAGCCUGCCGUUGAAACUGUUAGUCUUGAGAGUGAACGAGGUAGGCGGAAUUAGUGGUGUAGCGGUGAAAUGCAUAGAUAUCACUAGGAACCCCGAUAGCGCAGGCAGCUUACCAGGCCACGACUGACGCUGAAGCACGAAAGUGUGGUUAUCAAACAGGAUUAGAUACCCUGGUAGUCCACACAGUAAACGAUGAUUACUAGCUGUUUGCGAUAUACAGUAAGCGGCUGAGCGAAAGCAUUAAGUAAUCCACCUGGGGAGUACGCCGGCAACGGUGAAACUCAAAGGAAUUGACGGGGGCCCGCACAAGCGGAGGAACAUGUGGUUUAAUUCGAUGAUACGCGAGGAACCUUACCCGGGCUCGAACGGCUGAUGCAUAUAGGAGAGAUUUUAUAGUCGCAAGACAUUAGUCGAGGUGCUGCAUGGUUGUCGUCAGCUCGUGCCGUGAGGUGUCGGCUUAAGUGCCAUAACGAGCGCAACCCUUACCGUUAGUUACCAUCAGGUUAAGCUGGGGACUCUAACGGGACUGCCACCGUAAGGUGUGAGGAAGGUGGGGAUGACGUCAAAUCAGCACGGCCCUUACGUCCGGGGCUACACACGUGUUACAAUGGGUGGUACAAAGGGCAGCUACUUAGUGAUAAGAUGCUAAUCUCUAAAACCACUCCCAGUUCGGAUUGGAGUCUGCAACCCGACUCCAUGAAGCUGGAUUCGCUAGUAAUCGCGCAUCAGCCAUGGCGCGGUGAAUACGUUCCCGGGCCUUGUACACACCGCCCGUCAAGCCAUGAAAGCCGGGGGUACCUAAAGUACGUAACCGCAAGGAUCGUCCUAGGGUAAAACUGGUAAUUGGGGCUAAGUCGUAACAAGGUAGCCGUACCGGAAGGUGCGGCUGGAACACCUCCUU
RNAcentral lists this ribosomal RNA (1526 nucleotides) under Bacteroidia bacterium. RNAcentral describes it as "bacterial SSU rRNA". It matches the Rfam family "Bacterial small subunit ribosomal RNA". Lineage: Bacteria; Pseudomonadati; Bacteroidota; Bacteroidia. The record is from RNAcentral.